Molecule: non-coding RNA, 100 nt
Organism: Hypoxylon fuscum
Lineage: Eukaryota; Fungi; Ascomycota; Sordariomycetes; Xylariales; Hypoxylaceae
Source: the annotation of a GenBank genome assembly
GAUCCCUUAGCCUAACGGUAUGGCAUCUAACUACAACCGAGUGUGAGCAAACACGCUUGAAAGAUCAGGAAGGUAUCGGGUUCGAGUCCCGGAGAGAUCG